Bos taurus (domestic cattle) is the source of this 1367-nucleotide long non-coding RNA. Lineage: Eukaryota; Metazoa; Chordata; Mammalia; Artiodactyla; Bovidae. The record is from Ensembl.
GAUAUGUCAAAUUGUGAUGACUGGUUAGACACUCUGGAUACUGAAGACCACUGGAUAUGGUGAUGAAUUACAUCUCAAUAAAGUUGUUUUUAAAACAACACACAAGCUCAAGCAAAGGCUUUGCCAAGUGGCCAGCCUUGGUGGAGCAAUGGAGGAUUCACGCCGUGGAGACCAGUGGAUGCCCAUGUAGGCUGUGGCUUAGUAGAAGAUGUACCGGGCCAGGGACUCAGAUGUGAAAAGACAAGAUUCACACCAGCAGUUAAUCCUUGCAUGUAAUAUCUGGGGAAAUUUUCCAUCCAUUUCAACUGGAAUCGAGGAUCAAGAAUUCUGUGUGAGAAAAUCUCCUCCCAUCUGAGAGUCGACUUUCAGAGCACAACCUUCCUAGAUGGCAGCACCCCUCUCUAGACUGCGAAUGUGGCAAACAGCCCUCUGCAAGAGCCCUUUGCAGCUGCUGUCCUUGGGCUUGGAGUGCUUUCCCCCAGUUGUGCACAUACUGGGAAUUCAGCAACCUGGAAAGAAGGGCAGGACGCUGCAAACGGAACGGUACCAGCAAAGACACUGUAGUGGAACUUUUUUGUGCCGGCCAUGUGCUCUGUCCACGUGGAAUACCAGCUGGCUUCCUGUGACUCCCCGUUUAAUUUGCAGAGUCAACACCGUGGUGAAGAAUCUGGACUCUGACCUGGGGGAUGAGAAGGGACCCUUGGACGGCUUGGAGGUGCCAUCAUCCAAUCAGCAUUUAGGAGAGAUGACUCCAGCACAGGCAGGACCAAUGGGCUGGAGGAGACUUUGGGAGCAAAGAGACCUGCUGUUAAGGCUGGUGCCAAAGUCCGGAACAAGUUAGAGACGGCUUCGGCCGCUGCGGAAGCCCCCGGAAUGGGCCGUACAGGAUGGGCUGGAGACGUGGAGGGAGAGGAUGUGGAGAGGAAAAGUAGCGAAGCCAGAACGACGCCCACGUCUGGGGCUUGACGGGGAAGUUGCCGUCAUCAGCCAAAGCAAGGGAUACACGAGGGAAACCAUGUUUGUGGAGGAAGGUGAGAAGGCAGAGCUAAGAGUGGAAGGCAGGAGCGCAGGAGGGGGCGGCACUCAGCACAACUUAACAUCCAGCGAUUUUGCCUGGGGCAACGACCAGCCUCCCAUCCCUACACACAGCACCACGGAGACUGGAGAGCCAUCUGCCAGGGGGUACUGAGCGGAGGUUGAAUGCUUUCCAAGGCCCUUCUGGAUUCUAAUUCUCAUUGGCUGGAGUGGCCCUGCUGAAUCUCAGGCAGAGAAGGGACUGAGCCCUCCCGUGCAGUGACAGGCCAUCACCCAGCAGCUCCACGUGCUCAGGAGUCUUUCCCAGAGCUUCACAACUGCACCUGCACACG